This 74-nucleotide transfer RNA is filed under the name Pseudomonadota bacterium. Its description in RNAcentral is "tRNA-Arg". It matches the Rfam family "tRNA". Rfam says of the family: Transfer RNA (tRNA) molecules are approximately 80 nucleotides in length. Their secondary structure includes four short double-helical elements and three loops (D, anti-codon, and T loops). The record is from RNAcentral. Lineage: Bacteria; Pseudomonadati; Pseudomonadota. RNAcentral also lists the same sequence under 3 other names.
GCUCCCGUAGCUCAGUUGGAUAGAGCAUUAGCCUUCUAAGCUAAGGGUCGCAGGUUCGAAUCCUGCCGGGGGCG